Molecule: long non-coding RNA, 1647 nt
Organism: Homo sapiens (human)
Lineage: Eukaryota; Metazoa; Chordata; Mammalia; Primates; Hominidae
Exons: 3
Source: RefSeq, a predicted model, not a curated record
ACCCGACCUCGGCUCCUCCCACGCAGCCUCGGUUACCCUCUCCGCCACCCGCUGGACCUCGGCUUCCAGGGCCCUGCCUCGCUACAGAGCGCUCACUGGUGCGGUUUACAAUCCUAGCUACAGAGUGCUGAUUGGUGUGUUUUACAAUCCUCUUGUAAAACAGGAAAGUUCUCCAAGUCCCCACUCGACCCAGGAAGUCCAGCUGGCUUCACCUCUCAUUGAGUUUGCAGGAUGGCAGGCUUAUGGGUGUCCUACGAUCUGCCAUUUGUUUGGAAGCUGGAGAACCAAGAAAGCUGGUAGUCUUGCUCCAGUCCAAGCUCAAAGACCUGAAAACAGGGGAGCCAACAGUGUAAACCCCAGUGUGAAGUCCAAAGGCUUGAGAACCAGGAGGGCCAAUGGUGUAAGUUGCGAGUCUGAGUCUGAAGGCUGGAGAACCAGAAGCACCCGUAUCUGAGGUGGGGAGAAGACCGAUGUUCCAUUUCAAGUACCUUUUGUGGUUUCCCUACAUCCUGUUCACAAUUCUGUGAGGAGCCCCUUGAUAUAAACUGCGCUUGAAUCAUCCCAGUUGACGUGUGUGUCAACUGUUUCCUGCUGGGACUCUUGAUAUUCCAACUUCCUGAACAUGUAAGGAAAAGCCCUAACAAUGACCUAUAAAACCCCACAAGAUCAGGAUCUGCAUCUCCGAUUACCCUCUAAUCCCUGAAUCCCUAUUUUACCUGAGUCAUACUGGCCUCUGUGCUGUGGGUCUUUGCAUGCCAACAGUCCUCUUGCCACAAGUUCCUACUCAAUAGUCUCUCCUCAAAUGCACCUUAACUGGGGGCCUUUUCCUUCCUAUGCUACAUAAAAUGGAAAGUCCCCAGCCCUCCGUAACUCUCUCACAAUGCUUUAUUUUUCUGCACAACAUGAAUAUUGUUGAUUUUUCUUUUUCGAUGGAGUCUUGCUCUGUUGCCCAGGCUGGAGUGCAGUGGCGCGAUCUCGGCUCAUUGCAACCUCCACCUCCCAGGAUGAAGCGAUUCUCCUGCCUCAGCCUCCUGAUUAGCUGAGCGCACCACCACACCCAGCUAAUUUUUUUGUAUUUUUAGUAGAGAUGGCGUUUCACCAUGUUGGUCAGGCCGGUCUCAAACUCCUGACCUCAUGAUCUGCCCCAGCCUCCCAAAGUAUUGGAAUUACAGGCGUGAGUCACAGCGCCCGGCCAUGUUGUUGAUUUUUCUAUAAUUCACCCCUCCCCGUUAGGAUGUAAGUGCCUCAAUGGCAAAACUUGAGUUUCAUUCACUGCUCUAGACAUGGCAUCUCAAACAGUGCUUAGCCACAUGGAAUGUACUCAAUGAACAGGCUAGUGGUUAUGAGAAUCACCUGUCUGGAUUCCAAUCUGUGCUCUACCACUUACUAGCUGGUGAACUCAGGCAAGCAACCUAGACAUUUCCAUGCCAGUUUUCCCAUCUGUAAGUUGGAGACAGUAAUAGCACAGUUUGCAAGCUUAUAGUGAGGACGCAGUUAAUAUUUAUAAGGCACUUUGAAGAGCGCCUGGUCUAUAGGAUGGGCUAGCGAAAUGUUUGAUCUCUUUUUGUUAAUAUAUUUUCAUAUUACAAUUAUUUGGUAUGAAAAGGUAUGGCCCCUACUGAAAAUAAAUAAAUUCACAGGAGAAUA